This 329-nucleotide ribosomal RNA is filed under the name uncultured eukaryote. RNAcentral describes it as "partial 18S ribosomal RNA". It matches the Rfam family "Eukaryotic small subunit ribosomal RNA", at positions 1470 to 1796 of the family's 1831-position model. The record is from RNAcentral.
CCCUUAGAUGUUCUGGGCCGCACGCGUGCUACACUGAUGCAUUCAACGAGUCUAAAACCUGCUCUGAAAGGGGUGGGUAAUCUUUUGAAUGUGCAUCGUGAUUGGGAUAGAUGAUUGCAAUUUUUCAUCUUCAACGAGGAAUGCCUAGUAAACGCAAGUCAUCAGCUUGCAUUGAUUACGUCCCUGCCCUUUGUACACACCGCCCGUCGCUCCUACCGAUUGAAUGAUCCGAUGAAUAUCAUGGAUUGAGGAUUAUAGCAGGUUCGCCUGUCUUGAUCUUCGAGAAGUGAAGUAAAUCUUAUCAUUUAGAGGAAGGAGAAGUCGUAACA